RNAcentral lists this ribosomal RNA (253 nucleotides) under uncultured bacterium. RNAcentral's name for it is "partial 16S ribosomal RNA". It matches the Rfam family "Bacterial small subunit ribosomal RNA", at positions 524 to 776 of the family's 1533-position model. The record is from RNAcentral.
UACGUAGGGGGCGAGCGUUGUCCGGAGUUACUGGGCGUAAAGCGCACGCAGGCGGUCUGCUAAGUUUGGAGUGACAGUUGGUGGCUCAACCACCAAAGUGCUUCGAAAACUGACAGACUUGAGGGCUUCAGAGGGACACGGAAUUCCGGGUGGAGUGGUGAAAUGCGUAGAGAUCCGGAGGAACACCAGUGGCGAAGGCGACACGCUGGGCCAUACCUGACGCUAAAGCGCGACAGCAUGGGGAGCAAACGGG